Small nuclear RNA from Erigeron canadensis, 101 nucleotides. The record is from RefSeq and is a predicted model, not a curated record. Lineage: Eukaryota; Viridiplantae; Streptophyta; Magnoliopsida; Asterales; Asteraceae.
UUCUCCUUAUCCUUUCAGAGAAAUCCGAUAAAAUUGAAACGAUACAGAGAAAAUUAAUAUGGCCGCUGCUCAAGGAUGACAUGCAUAAAUAUCAUCUCUCU